AAGUCGUAACAAGGUUUCCGUAGGUGAACCUGCGGAAGGAUCAUUAUCAUAAUAACGUAUCCACGUAUAAACCAAUUUAACUAUGUGAAUUGUUUAUUUACCUCUCUUUGGAGUAUUUCUUUGGCAUUUUUUUGGAGUACUAGUUUCUCUAAAAAAAUAAAAAAGAAUAUAUAACAAAAAGAGUGAAUUUAAUUUAACUUAUUAACCAAUUGAACCGUAAUUGUUAUUCUUAUUAUUUUAGUACUGAAGUGAUUUUUAUAUUUCUUUGAAUUAAUUUUUGAAGAAAUUGAAAAUUAAAUAUUUUUACGAAAAAUUAAAAAAGAACAACUCUUAGCAACGGAUAUCUUGGUUCUC
Molecule: unclassified non-coding RNA, 354 nt
Filed under: fungal sp.
Lineage: Eukaryota; Fungi
Description: partial internal transcribed spacer region
Rfam family: Eukaryotic small subunit ribosomal RNA (bases 1-46)
Source: RNAcentral